Molecule: ribosomal RNA, 467 nt
Filed under: uncultured Actinomycetes bacterium
Lineage: Bacteria; Bacillati; Actinomycetota; Actinomycetes
Description: bacterial SSU rRNA
Rfam family: Bacterial small subunit ribosomal RNA
Source: RNAcentral
GACGAACGCUGGCGGCGUGCUUAACACAUGCAAGUCGAACGAUGAAGCUGGAGCUUGCUCUAGCGGAUUAGUGGCGAACGGGUGAGUAACACGUGAGCAAUCUGCCCUUGACUCUGGGAUAACUGCGGGAAACUGUAGCUAAUACCGGAUACUUUCACCGGAAGGCAUCUUCUGGUGAUGAAAGAAUUUCGGUCAGGGAUGAGCUCGCGGCCUAUCAGCUUGUUGGUGAGGUAACGGCUCACCAAGGCGACGACGGGUAACCGGCCUGAGAGGGUGACCGGUCACACUGGGACUGAGACACGGCCCAGACUCCUACGGGAGGCAGCAGUGGGGAAUAUUGCACAAUGGGCGCAAGCCUGAUGCAGCAACGCCGCGUGAGGGACGAAGGCCUUCGGGUUGUAAACCUCUUUUAGCAGGGAAGAAGCGAAAGUGACGGUACCUGCAGAAAAAGCACCGGCUAACUACGU